AGCAGAUAAAGGCAGAUAUUAGGCCUGCCCUUGAUGGAACAGGACUGCGGCUGGCUUUAAUUCUGAGUAUCUGCUCAGGAGGAUGGGGAACCAUGGUGCAGCUUAGCCUCAGCUACAGACUGAGCAGGUUGGCUGCGCAGAGAGGAUGGGCUCUGUGUACUGGAUUGAUUUUUCUUCUCCUAUCGCUGCCGUGCCUCCUUUUGUGGUUCAGUAGCUGGACAUCCAGGAGCAAGGAUCUCUCAGUCGCUGCCUGAAUCGUGCAAGAGCCGUCUGGAUCUCCGGAGGAACAGAGUCACAUGCAGCAAUACCAAAAGCAGCUUCAGAGCAAGACUCAGCAGGCCCAGGAGCUCCAGAGUCAGCUGCAGUUAAAGGGCGUCAGAUGGAGGCAGAGAAUGACACACUAAUGGAAUGUAAGCUGGAGUGGAGAGCUCAGGAAAUGCUCUGUGCAGAGUGCAGCAUGGGGCAGACUGGCUACAGAAAGAUCUGUAAAGAUCUGGAGGCUCAGCUGGGGCAAAGACCUACCUCGGUUAUACAGUACCAGAAUACAGGACACAGGACACCAGACACCAGGAACAGGGUGAUACAACCACUGCUUGGCCUGAUACCAUGUGGGUUCACACAGUCACAGUCGCUGCCUAAUCCCAGCAGCGCUGGCUCAGGAACAGAUUACUGCUUCCAGACACCAGAGGAGAGGAGAGGAGAGCAGAGCAGGGUGGGGGUUGGAGGGUCGAAAGAGAUGCCUCAGUGAUACAAUACAGAGAGAUUGAAGGGGCCAGCACAUACUGAAGCGAAGAUCAUGCUGCUACAUACAGAGUUGUCCAACAUGGCUGCCUUAUUCAGCGGGUACAGUGCUCCCAACCACAGCCAACAGAAUCGUACUGUGAUUUUACAAGGAGGAGAACAGAUUUCUGAACUACAGGUGGAGAUACACAGGCCAAAGACGCUGCAAGGAUGUAGGAUGAGUGGCAAGAGCUGCAA
This is a long non-coding RNA of Micropterus salmoides (largemouth bass), 978 nucleotides long. RefSeq lists it as uncharacterized. Lineage: Eukaryota; Metazoa; Chordata; Actinopteri; Centrarchiformes; Centrarchidae. The record is from RefSeq and is a predicted model, not a curated record. The transcript has 6 exons.